CUAUACGGAUAAUUGCUUGCCCUGGUGAUAAGAGAUGCAGAAAUUGCUUUCGGUUGACUCAAAGUUAUUGUAGUAAAUGUUCAAUAACUCCAUUAUGCUCCAAUUGCCGUAGUCAUCAUUUAUAUGAUUGUAACACAUUUUCGCUUAUGUCUAAAGAAGUGCAGUUCGAAAAUUUGCGUAAAAAUUCAGAAUGUUACUUCGAAAAAAUAUGCCGAUGUCAAGCAUCCAAAGUAGUAUUAAAAAGUGCCAGCAAAACAAAACGGAACUAAAGAGAUGCCGCCUCGAUUUGCGUUUUAAGCAAAAAGUUUUCAUCGUUUUGAUUAUUUACACCGAUAAUUAUUCAGGUCUGAAACAGGAGAUUGCACCAAUAUUAAGAAAGUCCGGCGCUAUGAUAGAUACGAAUAACUCGUUUGAAGAGUAUGGUCUUAUAGAAGCAACCGUCAGU
Long non-coding RNA from Glossina fuscipes, 445 nucleotides. RefSeq lists it as uncharacterized. The transcript has 3 exons. The record is from RefSeq and is a predicted model, not a curated record. Lineage: Eukaryota; Metazoa; Arthropoda; Insecta; Diptera; Glossinidae.